Molecule: ribosomal RNA, 497 nt
Filed under: uncultured bacterium
Lineage: Bacteria
Description: partial 16S ribosomal RNA
Rfam family: Bacterial small subunit ribosomal RNA
Source: RNAcentral
GAUGAACGCUGGCGGCGUGCCUAAUACAUGCAAGUCGAGCGAACGGACGAGAAGCUUGCUUUUCUGAUGUUAGCGGCGGACGGGUGAGUAACACGUGGAUAACCUACCUAUAAGACUGGGAUAACUUCGGGAAACCGGAGCUAAUACCGGAUAAUAUUUUGAACCGCAUGGUACAAAAGUGAAAGACGGUCUUGCUGUCACUUAUAGAUGGAUCCGCGCUGCAUUAGCUAGUUGGUAAGGUAACGGCUUACCAAGGCAACGAUGCAUAGCCGACCUGAGAGGGUGAUCGGCCACACUGGAACUGAGACACGGUCCAGACUCCUACGGGAGGCAGCAGUAGGGAAUCUUCCGCAAUGGGCGAAAGCCUGACGGAGCAACGCCGCGUGAGUGAUGAAGGUCUUCGGAUCGUAAAACUCUGUUAUUAGGGAAGAACAUAUGUGUAAGUAACUGUGCACAUCUUGACGGUACCUAAUCAGAAAGCCACGGCUAACUACGUG